Molecule: ribosomal RNA, 424 nt
Filed under: uncultured bacterium
Lineage: Bacteria
Description: partial 16S ribosomal RNA
Rfam family: Bacterial small subunit ribosomal RNA
Source: RNAcentral
GUAUAUUGGACAAUGGGGGGAACCCUGAACCAGCCAUGCCGCGUGUGUGAAGAAGGCCUUUUGGUUGUAAAGCACUUUAAGCGAGGAGGAGGAGCUCUUGGUUAAUACCCAAGAUGCGUGGACGUUACUCGCAGAAUAAGCACCGGAUACCUCUGGGCCAGCCGCCGCGGUAAUACAGAGGGUGCAAGCGUUAACCGGAUUGUCUGGGAGUAAAGCGCGCGUAGGUGGCCAAUUAAGUCAAAUGUGAAAUCCCCGAGCUUAACUUGGGAAUUGCAUUCGAUACUGGUUGGCUAGAGUAGGGGAGAGGAUGGUAGAAUUCCAGGUGUAGCGGUGAAAUGCGUAGAGAUCUGGAGGAAUACCGAUGGCGAAGGCAGACAUCUGGCCGAAUACUGACACUGAGGUGCGAAAGCAUGGGGAGCAAACA